This 24-nucleotide non-coding RNA is filed under the name Mus musculus (house mouse). Lineage: Eukaryota; Metazoa; Chordata; Mammalia; Rodentia; Muridae. The record is from RNAcentral.
UACAACAGGUGGCCAGGCUUGCUA